Molecule: long non-coding RNA, 2345 nt
Filed under: Olea europaea subsp. europaea
Lineage: Eukaryota; Viridiplantae; Streptophyta; Magnoliopsida; Lamiales; Oleaceae
Source: RNAcentral
CACUAUCACACUUGUACUCAAAAAAUCUUUCCACCAUCUUUGUAAAUUCAAAGGCAUCAUUGUAAAUUUAAAGACUUCGUAAUUAAAGUAAGUUCUUUUCAUAUCCUCUCUUGUUUAUGAUUUUCGUUUACUUUAGUUAUUUUUCGGGCAAGGCCUAAAAUGGGAAGCACCAAGUAAGCAAUUAAUUUAUUCACAAAUAAUAUUUUAUUUUUACUUCAAAAAUAUAUUUUUAACGCUCUUAACCUCUUCAUUCUAGAUUCCAUGGUCAAAAGAUAAAGUAAUCCUCCGAGUUAAGUUAGCUAAUUUGUAUCCCAAUUGUGAAAAUUUGUUAAAGCCUUUUUAAAUAUGAUGAAAAUCUUUUUUGCUACGAUCUUAAACCUUCUUUAAAAGGUCAAGAAAAAAGUUAAGAGAGAGUUAAAAAAAAAGGGGUCUGAAGAAAUUAAUUUAUUGAACGGUAAAGUACUCAAAAGUCAUUACAAACAUAUCAGUUUUAAGUUCUAAUAUUUUAUAUCUUUAGAUUACACUGCCUUACUUAAUUGUUUAUUAUAAAGUUUUAACAAAUAUAUUAAUACUUGUUUAGAGAACAGAGAAAUAGGAAGAUUUGUCAUUGUAAGAAGUCAUAUUUUAUCCGUUCUAGAUAGAAAUACAGAUGACCCCUCUUUACAGAUCAAGAAGCAAAUUACUGAGCUCUCUAUCUCUCAGUGUCGUAGUUUCUUGAUAGAAAAUCCUAAAGAUUGUAAAGAAAGACAACAACGAGCAAAGAUUGUAGGAGAAAAAAAAAAUUUCAAGCAGAACUAGUUAGACAUUUUUAGCAAAGAACUUUAGUAGCAAAGAAAAGACAUUGUCUUCGAAAUUAAUUGCUAGUAAUUUUUUCUUGAAUUUGGUAUAUUUGAAAUGUGUUUAAAUUUUUGAAAAAUCUUUAAUAUUUGAUAGACUUUUUCUUGAAUCUUUAAUAUUUAGUAGACUUUUUUCUUGAAACGAAUUUAUUACGAAGACUUUGCGCAAAGACUCUUUGUUACAAAGAUUUUGAAUUUUUACUAGAAAGAGUUUGUCUACAAAAUUGGUAUCUACGUAGAAAAUAUUUUAGUUGUUAUUUUCCUAGAAGAAAUUUUUCUUAGUUGUCAUUUUCGUACAAGAUUUUAGUUAGAAAAUAUUUUAACUGUCAUUUAAACCAAAAUUGGUCAAUUUACGUAGAAAAUUUUCUUAUUUGUCAUUUUCAGAGUUUUUUCAUUUUCUUUCUUUGACAUACACUAUUUGCUACAAGAAUUUUUUAGCAAAUAAUUUAUUACAAAGACCACUUUCAAAGAAAAAGUCUUGCUCCUAAAUUAGUAUCUCGAAAUAUAUAUAUAUAUAUAUAUAUAUAUAUAUAUAUAUAUAUAUAUAUAUAUAUAAAAUUUAAUUUUUAGUUUAUUAAUGUAAGGAAAAUGCAAAGUGCCAUUUUGUCCUUUUUAAUUUGGUUAAAUUUGAUCAAAUUGUGACAUUUUUGGUCAAUGAAAUGGAUGGUUUCCUUCCCUUUAGAUCCUAGUUGCAAAUUUUUAAAAGAUUUGAGACUAUGACUGGCACAAAGUGAAUGUCAGGAUAAAUUUUAUAAAAAGUAAAAGAUUAGGGACUUACGUUGCAUGUAUCCCUAAAAUAUAUGGUGGAAAUGGACUUGAAAAAAAAAUUAAAAUUCUCUCCAGUAUAAACUUCAAAGUACAUCACGACAAGUAUCCUUGUUUGAGUCACAUUAUUUCUUAAUUCAUUUUUUUCAAUCAUACGUUCCUCCAAUAAUAUAAUAUAAUUUACACAUAAAUCAAAAAUUUCUUUUUAUUUUUAACCACACAUUCUUUUGAAAAUCACUAUUACAAAUUUUUUUUUUCGUCGAAAUGGGGUUCAAACAAAAGCGUAGUUUUAAAGCAUAAAGUUCAAAAAAGGCAAAAUAAAAUCUCAAGCUAGAUGCCACGUCCACGUUCACGCCCACGCCCACUGACUAGUAACUAUUGCUUAGAGUACUAAAAAAGGCGUACAAAUUGUGGUUUAACAACGGUUGAAAAUGACCCGUCCUCAUAUCUAAUCAACGAAUCUCGUGCAUUGUCUUUUACUACUAUAAUGUUGCGUUAGAUUUACAUUUAGCAUUGUUCAUAAAUAUUAUUUUGUAUUUUGAUCCAAAAGCAUAAUACACCUUCUGCCAAUUCUGCAGCAAGCUUUUCAAACUAUGCACUUCUGAAGAGGCUUAAUCCAGCAUAUUUUGCUCUUGUGGAAGUGAAAUUUCAGGUAAUCUUUAAUAGUAGUAUUACUGAGCUGCACUGGCGGUAAUUAAGAGGAAUUCACUCCAGAUUUUUGUCUUUUUGUUUUUAGCUUUAAUU